This 393-nucleotide ribosomal RNA is filed under the name uncultured bacterium. RNAcentral describes it as "partial 16S ribosomal RNA". It matches the Rfam family "Bacterial small subunit ribosomal RNA", at positions 523 to 918 of the family's 1533-position model. The record is from RNAcentral.
AUACGGAGGAUGCGAGCGUUAUCCGGAUUUAUUGGGUUUAAAGGGUGCGCAGGCGGCGCGUUAAGUCAGCGGUGAAAUGCCCCGGCUCAACCGGGGAGCUGCCGUUGAUACUGGCGUGCUGGAGUGCGAACGGCGCCGGCGGAAUGUGCAAUGUAGCGGUGAAAUGCAUAGAUAUUGCACAGAACACCGAUCGCGAAGGCAGCUGGCGAGGACGCAACUGACGCUGAGGCACGAAGGCGUGGGGAUCGAACAGGAUUAGAUACCCUGGUAGUCCACGCAGUAAACGAUGAUGACUUGUUGUCGGCGAUAGAAUGUCGGUGACAAAGCGAAAGCGAUAAGUCAUCCACCUGGGGAGUACGAUCGCAAGGUUGAAACUCAAAUGAAUUGACGGGG